Long non-coding RNA from Epinephelus fuscoguttatus (brown-marbled grouper), 307 nucleotides. RefSeq lists it as uncharacterized. The transcript is spliced from 2 exons. NCBI's taxonomy places the organism in Eukaryota, Metazoa, Chordata, Actinopteri, Perciformes, Serranidae. The record is from RefSeq and is a predicted model, not a curated record.
CUUUAUAUAUAAAUGUUUGGUCUAAUACCGCAUAAUAUUUCAUUGUGACAGGUGGACAAUAAGCCUGGCAACAUUUAAAAUAGUGCAGAAAUUAUUUAUUUAGUGGCAUUUGAUACAUUCAGUGAACAUUUACAUGCAGGAAUCCAUGAUGCGCCUCAUGCUCAUGAACCUGGUGCCGCUCAUGCCCAUGUCCCUGAAGCUCCUGUACUCUCCGGGCCUCAGGUACAUCAUCCUGCCUCUGUAGUGGGGCUGCUCAUACAUCAGCCAGUGGCCGUCCAUCACGUGGCAGGACAUGCAGUCAUUCAUA